ACUGAAGUAGAUGUAGAUUUUGUAAGGAAAGCUGUCCGUGCAAUUGGUAGGUGUGCAAUCAAGCUAGAGAGAGCUGCUGAACGAUGCAUAAGUGUGUUGCUUGAGCUGAUCAAAAUUAAAGUGAACUACGUGGUUCAAGAGGCUAUUAUAGUCAUCAAGGAUAUUUUUAGAAGAUAUCCUAACACUUACGAGUCCAUCAUUGCAACACUCUGUGAAAGCUUAG
This 223-nucleotide unclassified non-coding RNA is filed under the name Hevea brasiliensis (rubber tree). Lineage: Eukaryota; Viridiplantae; Streptophyta; Magnoliopsida; Malpighiales; Euphorbiaceae. The record is from RNAcentral.